GACGGGGACCCGCACAAGCGGUGGAUGAUGUGGUUUAAUUCGAUGCAACGCGACAAACCUUACCCACCUUUGACAUGUACGGAAUCCUUUAGAGAUAGAGGAGUGCUCGAAAGAGAGCCGUAACACAGGUGCUGCAUGGCUGUCGUCAGCUCGUGUCGUGAGAUGUUGGGUUAAGUCCCGCAACGAGCGCAACCCUUGCCAUUAGUUGCUACGAAAGGGCACUCUAAUGGGACUGCCGGUGACAAACCGGAGGAAGGUGGGGAUGACGUCAAGUCCUCAUGGCCCUUAUAGGUGGGGCUACACACGUCAUACAAUGGCUGGUACAAAGGGUUGCCAACCCGCGAGGGGGAGCUAAUCCCAUAAAGCCAGUCGUAGUCCGGAUCGCAGUCUGCAACUCGACUGCGUGAAGUCGGAAUCGCUAGUAAUCGUG
This 430-nucleotide ribosomal RNA is filed under the name Comamonas aquatica. Its description in RNAcentral is "bacterial SSU rRNA". It matches the Rfam family "Bacterial small subunit ribosomal RNA", at positions 912 to 1346 of the family's 1533-position model. Lineage: Bacteria; Pseudomonadati; Pseudomonadota; Betaproteobacteria; Burkholderiales; Comamonadaceae. The record is from RNAcentral.